UAUAAACUUUGUCAUGAUUAAAUUAUAGCUUAGACCAAGCUUAAUAUGGUAAUUAGUGUAAAUUAGAAACUUAUUAAAAAAGAACUAAACAACCCAGCAAGAAACCUUAAACAAUAUUAGAAAUAAUAAUUUAUUAGCGUCUAACAGGGCUGACCAACUAGGUGCCAGCAGUCGCGGUCAUACCUAGAACCCAAGCUAUAAAUAUUUAGGCUGGCUAUUUAUUAGAACAUUUAUAAACAGGUAAAAUUUUUAUAAAUUGAAAUCAAACCUAUACUCGUUAGCCUAAACUCUAGCUAUAAACCAGGAUUAGAUACCCUGCUAUACAGAGCCAAAAUUUAAUGCUUAAGCACUAAGACUUUAUAGUUAAAACUUAAAUGACAUGGCGGCAGCUCAAUUUCAGGGGAACUUACCAGAUAAAUGAUAACCCACAGGGCACCCUACUUUUUCUAACAGUUUGUAUAUCACCGUCUUCAGAGCCCGCCUUAGAUGAGCUCGAAACGUUCAAAUUAGACAAAAAGACAGGUCAACAUGCAACCUAUGUAAAAGUCCUUAAGGUGAGUUACAAUGACUUUUAGUCUUGGAAGUUUUUUGAAAAUAAAACAGAAAACGGACUUGAAAGUAAAAAUUAUUUAGAACUAAAAUUUGAAUUUCAAAAAAGCUGUGCACAAAUCGCCCGUCACUCUCGUUGAUAAAAGGAGAUAAGUCGUAACAUAGUAAGUGUACUGGAAAGUGCACUUGUCUGGAU
RNAcentral lists this non-coding RNA (745 nucleotides) under Tritoniopsis elegans. Lineage: Eukaryota; Metazoa; Mollusca; Gastropoda; Nudibranchia; Tritoniidae. The record is from RNAcentral.